GAUGAACGCUGGCGGCGUGCCUAAUACAUGCAAGUCGAGCGAACAGACGCGGCGGUUGCUCCGCUGACGUAAGCGGCGGGCGGGUGAGUAACACGUUGAUAACGUCCCUAUGAUACUGGGAUAAAUUCGGGACACCGGCGCUAAUACCGUUCUAUAUAUUGAACCGCAGUGUUCAAUAGUGAAAGACGGUUUUUCUGUCCCUUAUAGAUGGAUCCGCGCCGCAUUAGCUAGUUGGUAAGGUAACAGCUUACUAAGGCGACGAUGCGUAGCCGACCUGAGAGAGUGAUCGGCCACACGAGAACGGAGACGCGCUCCAGACGACUACGGGAGGCCGCAGUAGGGAACGUUACGCAACGGGCGAAAACCUUGCGGAGCAACCGGGAGUGAGUGAUGAAGACCUUCGGAUAGUAAAACUCUGUUAUGAGGUAAGAACAAAUGUGUAAGUAACUAUGCACGUAUUGACGGUACCUAAUCAGAAAGCCCCGGCUAACUACGUG
RNAcentral lists this ribosomal RNA (497 nucleotides) under uncultured bacterium. RNAcentral describes it as "partial 16S ribosomal RNA". It matches the Rfam family "Bacterial small subunit ribosomal RNA", at positions 28 to 507 of the family's 1533-position model. The record is from RNAcentral.